This 450-nucleotide ribosomal RNA is filed under the name uncultured bacterium. RNAcentral's name for it is "partial 16S ribosomal RNA". It matches the Rfam family "Bacterial small subunit ribosomal RNA", at positions 29 to 523 of the family's 1533-position model. The record is from RNAcentral.
AGCGAACAUUGGCGGUAGGCUUAACACAUGUAAGUCGAGCGAGGCGUAAUAGUCGAGCGGCGAACGGGUGAGUAAUACAUGGAAAUCUACCCUGAAGUGGGGGAUAACGUCCAGAAAUGGACGCUAAUACCGCAUAAUCCAUAUUGGGAAAGCGUUGCAGCGCUUUAGGAUGAGUCCAUGGCUGAUUAGCUUGUUGGUGAGGUAACGGCUCACCAAGGCGACGAUCAGUAGCUGGUCUGAGAGGAUGACCAGCCACACUGGAACUGGGACACGGUCCAGACUCCUACGGGAGGCAGCAGUGGGGAAUCUUGCGCAAUGGGGGCAACCCUGACGCAGCCAUACCGCGUGAGUGAUGAAGGUCUUCGGAUUGUAAAGCUCUUUCGGCGGGGACGACAAUGACGGUACCCGCAAAAGAAGUCACGGCUAACUUCGUGCCAGCAGCCGCCGUAA